This 205-nucleotide ribosomal RNA is filed under the name uncultured bacterium. RNAcentral's name for it is "partial 16S ribosomal RNA". It matches the Rfam family "Bacterial small subunit ribosomal RNA", at positions 524 to 727 of the family's 1533-position model. The record is from RNAcentral.
GACAGAGGGGGCAAGCGUUGCUCGGAAUCACUGGGCGUAAAGGGCGCGUAGGCGGGAUGGCAAGUCGGUCGUGAAAUCCUUCGGCUCAACCGAAGAACGUCGGCCGAUACUGCCGUUCUUGAGGGAUGCAGAGGAGAUUGGAAUUCCCGGUGUAGCGGUGAAAUGUGUAGAGAUCGGGAGGAACACCGGUGGCGAAGGCGGGGUC